RNAcentral lists this transfer RNA (74 nucleotides) under Huananpotamon koatenense. RNAcentral's name for it is "tRNA-Val". The record is from RNAcentral. Lineage: Eukaryota; Metazoa; Arthropoda; Malacostraca; Decapoda; Potamidae.
CAAAGUAUAGCUAAGAUAGAAAUAGCAUUUCGUUUACAUUGAAAUAAAUUAUCGUGCAAAUCGAUUUACUUUGA